Molecule: ribosomal RNA, 1242 nt
Filed under: metagenome
Description: bacterial LSU rRNA
Rfam family: Bacterial large subunit ribosomal RNA
Source: RNAcentral
UGAAUACGAGAUGCUACGGCGUCGAAGCAGUCUAUGUCAUACUUCCAAGAAAAGCUCGCACUGUCAUAAACAAAUAAUGCCUGUACCAUAACCGACACAGGUGGGUAGGUAGAGUAUACUAAGGGGCGCGAGAUAACUCUCUCUAAGGAACUCGGCAAAAUGACUCCGUAACUUCGGGAGAAGGAGUGCCUUAUUUAUAAGGUUGCAAUAACAAGAUCCAAGCAACUGUUUAUCAAAAACACAGGUCUCCGCUAAGUCGUAAGACGAUGUAUGGGGGCUGACGCCUGCCCAGUGCCAGAAGGUUAAAGAAGUUGGUUAGCAUUCGCGAAGCUGAUAACUGAAGCCCUGGUGAACGGCGGCCGUAACUAUAACGGUCCUAAGGUAGCGAAAUUCCUUGUCGGGUAAGUUCCGACCCGCACGAAAGGCGUAAUGAUUUGGAUACUGUCUCGGAGAGGGGCUCGGUGAAAUAGACUUGUCUGUGAAGAUGCGGACUACCUGCACCAGGACAGAAAGACCCUAUGAAGCUUUACUGUAACUUGAGAUUGAAAUUGGACUUUACUUGCGCAGUAUAGGUGGGAGGCGUUGAUAAUAUUCUUGCGGGAUUAUUUGAGCCAUCAGUGAGAUACCACUCUUGUAAUGUUAGAUUUCUAACUUUGUAUCAUUAUCUGGUCAAAGGACAGUUUCAGGCGGGCAGUUUGACUGGGGCGGUCGCCUCCUAAACGGUAACGGAGGCGCACAAAGGUUUCCUCUGAACGGGUAGAAAUCGUAUCUAGAGUGUAAAGGCAUAAGGAAGCUUGACUGUGAGACCUACAAGUCGAGCAGGGACGAAAGUCGGUCUUAGUGAUCUGACGGUGCUGAGUGGAAAGGCCGUCACUCAACGGAUAAAAGUUACUCUAGGAUAACAGGCUGAUCUCCCCCAAGAGUUCACAUCGACGGGGAGGUUUGGCACCUCGAUGUCGGCUCAUCGCAUCCUGGGGCGGUAGUACGUCCCAAGGGUUGGGCUGUUCGCCCAUGAAAGCGGUACGCGAGCUGGGUUCAGAACGUCGUGAGACAGUUCGGUCCAUAUCCGGUGUAGGCGUUAGAAUAUUGAGAGGAGCCUUCUUUAGUACGAGAGGACCGAGAAGGACAUACCUCUGGUGUACCAGUUAUCGUGCCAACGGUAAACGCUGGGUAGCUAUGUAUGGAGUGGAUAACCGCUGAAAGCAUCUAAGUGGGAAGCCCACCUCAAGAUAAGUAUUCUCA